Long non-coding RNA from Zonotrichia leucophrys gambelii, 1181 nucleotides. RefSeq lists it as uncharacterized. The transcript has 4 exons. The record is from RefSeq and is a predicted model, not a curated record. Lineage: Eukaryota; Metazoa; Chordata; Aves; Passeriformes; Passerellidae.
GGGAAUGGGACUCAGUGGCUGCUGUGGGAAGAAGAAACAGUCAAUGCCCUGAGGAGCUGCCCAUGAGAAACACCAAGAAGGCUUUGAGCUCAUGAGCAGCAGCUGCUAAAGAAAUGUUCAGCACUUCUUGGACACAGGAUUUCAGAAGUGUGAAUGUGUAACUCUGGCUGAGUAUUGCCUGUGUCCUUUAGAGGACAAAACACAGCUCUUUGUGGAAACAUUAAGGCAGAAAAGCCAUCUCCUGUCAGGAAGAUCUAAAGUCUCUACAUGCAAGCACCAAGUCCCUGCAGAGCAGGGGUUUCACAUACUGCAUUGUGAGCCAGGCACAAUCAAGAAAAUGUGAAGAUUUGGGAAUUAACUGAUGAUGGGAAUGCCAGCUCUUCCUUGCUAUCCAGCUUCCAGAUGUGGCUGCCUUCCAGGGAUGGCUCAGCACUCGCCUCACAUCUCUGCAGGGUGUUCUGAGCCUGUGGGCAGCACAGGAAAUGCCUUUUCCUGCUCUGCUGUUCCUCUGAUGAUAAGCAGCAGCAGCAGUGUGCCUCCUGACAGGCACAGGGCACUCCAAGCAUGGCUGGAAAGGAAUUACAGCACAGGGCUCUGCAGCAGCUCAGCUGCCACAAUUAAGGCAGAAAACCAGUCAUGCUGGCCUUGGUGGUUUUGUGUUGCUCCUUUUAAUUUCUGUGUGUGCAACAAAAUGAGCCUUAACAAACAAGCCAGAGCUUUUCAUUUUAGAGGUAUUACACUUUUUCAGUGGUGAGACCUUCUUGUUAUUGAUGUUUGGUUCAAGUCAGCAUCUUAGCUGGACAGCAAAAAAUGCAAUGCUACCAUGUAUUUGAAAUUAUUUCUUCAAAGUUAUAAUGUACUUGUAGAGUGACUGGUGUUAAGGAAAAGUCAGUGAAAAGAUACAAAAAUCUUCUAAACAUUCAGACAUACACAUGCACACUCAUGCCUUUUUAUUAUUCAGGUGAUUUAGGAUUGUGUAGAGAACUAAAUUGAAAGAAUCUCUCUAGUUUAGAAACUAGAUAUCCCUGGUUUAGAAAUAAUCUUCCAGGGGAAAAACUCAUCUGAAACAAGUCUUGACUUUUUGUGCCUGGACAAAUGAGAAAAAAGUGAAAAAUACAUAGUUCUUGCUUUAUUACACAGAUAUUCCAGAUGAGUGUAAAUUAUUUUGUGAGACUUUCUGU